CCUACGGGAGGCAGCAGUCGAGAAUCAUUCACAAUGGGGGAAACCCUGAUGGUGCGACGCCGCGUGGGGGAAUGAAGGUCUUCGGAUUGUAAACCCCUGUCAUGUGGGAGCAAAUUAAAAAGAUAGUACCACAAGAGGAAGGGACGGCUAACUCUGUGCCAGCAGCCGCGGUAAUACAAAGGGCUCAAGCCUUGUUCGGAAUCACGGGGCGUAAAGCGUGCGUAGGCUGUUUCGGAAGUCGGGUGUGAAAGGCGCGGGCUCAACCCGCGGACGGCACAUGAUACUGCGUGACUUGAGUAAUGGAGGGGGAGCCGGAAUUCUCGGUGUAGCAGUGAAAUGCGUAGAUAUCGAGAGGAACACUAGUGGCGAAGGCGGGUUCCUGGACAUUAACUGACGCUGAGGCACGAAGGCCAGGGGAGCGAAAGGGAUUAGAUACCCUGGUAGUC
RNAcentral lists this ribosomal RNA (446 nucleotides) under uncultured bacterium. RNAcentral's name for it is "partial 16S ribosomal RNA". It matches the Rfam family "Bacterial small subunit ribosomal RNA", at positions 338 to 795 of the family's 1533-position model. The record is from RNAcentral.